This 836-nucleotide ribosomal RNA is filed under the name uncultured fungus. Its description in RNAcentral is "eukaryotic LSU rRNA". It matches the Rfam family "Eukaryotic large subunit ribosomal RNA", at positions 30 to 821 of the family's 3401-position model. The record is from RNAcentral. Lineage: Eukaryota; Fungi.
GAACUUAAGCAUAUCAAUAAGCGGAGGAAAAGAAACUAACAAGGAUUCCCCUAGUAACUGCGAGUGAAGCGGGAAGAGCUCAAAUUUAAAAUCUGGCAGCUGAUGGGCUUGUCCGAGUUGUAAUCUAGAGAAGUGUCUUCCGCGCUGGGACCGUGUACAAGUCUCUUGGAAUGGAGCAUCAUAGAGGGUGAGAAUCCCGUCUCUGACACGGAAUUUACCGGUGCUUUUGUGAUGCGCUCUCGAAGAGUCGAGUUGUUUGGGAAUGCAGCUCAAAAUGGGUGGUAAAUUCCAUCUAAAGCUAAAUACAGGCGAGAGACCGAUAGCGAACAAGUACCGUGAGGGAAAGAUGAAAAGGACUUUGAAAAGAGAGUUAAACAUUACGUGAAAUUGUUGAAAGGGAAACGAUUCAAGUCAGUCGCAUUAGCCAGUAAUCAACCCUCGCAAUUAACCUUGCUGGGCUUACUUUCUGGUUGAUGGGUCAGCAUCAAUUUUGACCGUCAGAGAAAGGCUUUGCGGGGAAUGUGACAUCUUCGGAUGUGUUAUAGCCCCAACUCGCAUGUGAUGGUCGGGAUUGAGGAACUCAGCACGCCUUUACAGGUCAGGGCCGCCAGAAUGGCCCAUGUAAACGUAGCUUAGGAUGCUGGCAUAAUGGCUUGAACCGACCCGUCUUGAAACACGGACCAAGGAGUCUAACAUGCCUGCGAGUGUUUGGGUGGAAAACCCGAGCGCGAAGUGAAAGUGAACUUGGUUGAGAUCCCUGUCGUGGGGAGCACCGACGCCCGGACCAGACCUUCUGUGACGGAUCUGCGGUAGAGCAUGCAUGUUGGGACCCGAAA